Molecule: transfer RNA, 76 nt
Filed under: Longicatena sp.
Lineage: Bacteria; Bacillati; Bacillota; Erysipelotrichia; Erysipelotrichales; Erysipelotrichaceae
Also listed under: 1 other name
Description: tRNA-Ala
Rfam family: tRNA
About the family: Transfer RNA (tRNA) molecules are approximately 80 nucleotides in length. Their secondary structure includes four short double-helical elements and three loops (D, anti-codon, and T loops).
Source: RNAcentral
GGGGUGUUAGCUCAGCUGGGAGAGCACCUGCCUUGCACGCAGGGGGUCAGCGGUUCGAUCCCGCUACGCUCCACCA